Molecule: long non-coding RNA, 711 nt
Organism: Arachis duranensis
Lineage: Eukaryota; Viridiplantae; Streptophyta; Magnoliopsida; Fabales; Fabaceae
Exons: 3
Source: RefSeq, a predicted model, not a curated record
AAUUUUUUGUAAUUUAAUUUUUUAUUAUUAUAUUUUUCUUUGUACAUUUUUGUGUAAAAGAAAAUGUGAGAGUAAAUUAGACUUUCAUAAUUUGUUCUUUACAUUAAGUACUUAAAUUAGUCUGUUUUCCAAUUAGCUGUGAGCCUGUGAUGUCAGUUCAUAUGGACAUAUUUAUUCAAAUUUUGUUUUGGUUAUACACCUAAAAUUAUACUAAUUAACCUCAGGUUAGAGGGGAUAUCACAAGGGCUUUAAUGUACAUGGCAGUCGCUUAUGGGUUUCAGCAACCAGGGAGAAAUCCAAGUCUUCGCCUCUCAGAUACUCCAAAUGUUGGUAGGUUGGAGCACUGCAGAUUCAGACUCCUCACCUCUGUCCCAACUUCUAUUCGUUGUUAGUGCCUCCUUCCUUCUACUCUAAUCAUUACUUCUGGUGUUUUCUGUUUAGUUUGAUCAGAACUUUCUUUUGUUCAUGGAUUUUAAUGUUGCACAGAUUGUUGCUAUUGGUGCCAUUACAAGUGCAUUUCAUGAAUUCAACAAUGCUCUGUAGCUUGAUCACUUAAAGCAUGGAUUAUUCAAUGGCAUUUGGAAUCCUGCUCGUCUUUUAUAUUUGGUAUUUGAGUUAUGAAGGAGCUUAUAAGAACCAACAGGAGAACUCUUCGGCAGAAUCAGUUCACUAGAAUCAUGGAAAUUAUAGUAACCAUUGUAAGAAGGGAUA